GGAUCAUUAAAGAGUGUAAUAAAACUCCUAAACCCCUGUGAACUUACUGGUGUUUGGCUCGCCAGAUAUAGUCUGGUCCGUAAGCAAAUCGACUGCCUGCCUGUGUAACAGGCAGGUAAGCUUUUGUCGCGGGGUCCCGGAUCAACCCGGGCUAGAUAGCCACUUAACUAUAUACUUUUUAUAAAAUCUGUGAACUUACUAGGUUGGAUUCUCGCCAGAGAUAGUCUGGUUUCUGCUUCGCGGAUCGCCUACCCGUGACACCUGUCACAGGCAGGUAUGCUUCUGCCGCGGGUCCGUAAGUAAAUCAUCUGUUUCGCAAGGGACGGCGAUUUACCUGUGGAAGAGGUCCGCUAACUAUAUUCUUAGUAUAGUUUGUUCACUAGAUCAAACAUUCUGAAUAAAAACUUAAACUAGUUAAAACUUUCAACAACGGAUCUCUUGGUUCUGGCAUCGAUGAAGAACGCAGCGAAAUGCGAUAAGUAAUGUGAAUUGCAGAAUUCAGUGAAUCAUCGAAUCUUUGAACGCACAUUGCGCCCAUUAGUAUUCUAGUGGGCAUGCCUGUUCGAGCGUCAUUUCAACCCUUAAGCCCCUGUUGCUUAGCGUUGGGAGCCUACAGCCUGCUGUAGCUCCUUAAAGGUAGUGGCGGAGUCGGUUCACACUCUAGACGUAGUAAAAUCUUUAUCUCGCCUAUGGAUGAGCCGGCGCCUUGCCGUAAAACCCCUAAUCUUUCACAAGGUUGACCUCGGAUCAGGUAGGAAUACCCGCUGAACUUAAGCAUAUCAAUAAGCGGAGGAAAAGAAACCAACAGGGAUUGCCCUAGUAACGGCGAGUGAAGCGGCAACAGCUCAAAUUUGAAAUCUGGCCUUCGGGUCCGAGUUGUAAUUUGCAGAGGAUGCUUUGGGCGCGGUGCCUUCCGAGUUCCCUGGAACGGGACGCCUUAGAGGGUGAGAGCCCCGUACGGUUGGACACCAAGCCUCUGUAAAGCUCCUUCGACGAGUCGAGUAGUUUGGGAAUGCUGCUCUAAAUGGGAGGUAAAUUUCUUCUAAAGCUAAAUAUUGGCCAGAGACCGAUAGCGCACAAGUAGAGUGAUCGAAAGAUGAAAAGCACUUUGAAAAGAGGGUUAAAUAGCACGUGAAAUUGUUGAAAGGGAAGCGUUUGCGACCAGACCUUUUCCCAGCGGAUCAUCCGGUGUUCUCACCGGUGCACUUCGCUGGGUUGAGGCCAGCAUCGGUUUCCGCAGGGGGAUAAAAGCCUGGGGAAUGUAGCUCCCUCGGGAGUGUUAUAGCCCCUCGCAUAAUACCCUUGCGGGGACCGAGGACCGCGCU
RNAcentral lists this ribosomal RNA (1325 nucleotides) under Xylaria sp. genotype 341. RNAcentral's name for it is "eukaryotic LSU rRNA". The stretch from base 738 to 1325 matches the Rfam family "Eukaryotic large subunit ribosomal RNA", at positions 1 to 599 of the family's 3401-position model. Lineage: Eukaryota; Fungi; Ascomycota; Sordariomycetes; Xylariales; Xylariaceae. The record is from RNAcentral.